Molecule: long non-coding RNA, 533 nt
Filed under: Marmota monax (woodchuck)
Lineage: Eukaryota; Metazoa; Chordata; Mammalia; Rodentia; Sciuridae
Source: RNAcentral
CGAGGCACGGGAUGCCGUUGAGGGACAGGACGUCUGCUUGUCCUUCACGGUGGACUUUCUGGACCUUGGUGGUUGCUAAACGGGCAACCUACCGCGCCCACGACUACCCCCGUCCUCGGCCCUUUUGACAGCGUGUUGGUGUCGUCCCCCGCCCCCACUACCGGUCACGGCCCCGGGCCCUUUCCCAGUGGUCGAGGGAGAUGGGUGGCAGGCCUCGAAUUGGUGGGUCUGAAGAUUUUAGAGCCCACUGCUCUGUAGAUAGCCUUGUGGGACCCGAACAGUCCGAGGAAGACUCCCCCCACCGCCCUACCCAGGCCCUCCUGGGAGAGCAGUUGUGGACAUGUGCCUCCUCAGAGGUCCACAGACUGAGGUCCUAGGCAACCAGGGGGAAGCGACAAAUGUCUUUGAAGUUAUACCUUUUAAUGAAAUUUGGCAUUCUGCUGUUUGAUUUGUGUACAUGUUUUCAUUAUGGGGUGUGGGGGUGUGUGCUGGGAAUCGAACCCAGGGCCUUGCACUGUACCACGGAGCUACAU